Molecule: non-coding RNA, 370 nt
Organism: Candidatus Amoebophilus asiaticus 5a2
Lineage: Bacteria; Pseudomonadati; Bacteroidota; Cytophagia; Cytophagales; Amoebophilaceae
Rfam family: transfer-messenger RNA
About the family: Bacterial tmRNA, also known as 10Sa RNA or SsrA, is named for its dual tRNA and mRNA-like properties. Its role is to liberate the mRNA from a stalled ribosome.
Source: Rfam
GGGGUCGACUGGAUUUGACGAUAAGUUCAGAUGCAAUGUAAGCAUGCGAGGUGUUGUAAGUAGUACCUCUUAUAACAAACUUUCACUAUUAUAAUUGGCAACAAUCAAGUAGCCCUUGCUGCCUAAUUGAUAAUUAGGUAAGCAACUGUCUCGCUAACCUUUUGUUCUGCAAGGUUAGCAUAGAGGCAUCAUCUAGUAGAACUAGCUAUAGUAGGUUACGUGAUAUUAUAGCGAAGUUGAGCGCGUAUAAGGAUUGUUCUAAGGUAUGUAACUAACCUAGGAGCAUCCCGACAAUAGAUAGUUACUAAGCAUGUAGAAAGCAUUGUUUUUGCUUGUUCGGACGAGGGUUCGAUUCCCUCCGACUCCACUU